UUACGGCCACAUCACGCUGAAACACCGGUUUCCGUACGAUCACCGAAGUUAAGCAACGUCGAGCCUGGCCAGUACUUAGAUGGGUGAUCACUUGGGAAUAUCAAGCGCUGUAAG
Molecule: non-coding RNA, 114 nt
Organism: Acanthosepion pharaonis
Lineage: Eukaryota; Metazoa; Mollusca; Cephalopoda; Sepiida; Sepiidae
Source: the annotation of a GenBank genome assembly